This 975-nucleotide ribosomal RNA is filed under the name Cryptococcus sp. 3 AC-2017. RNAcentral describes it as "LSU rRNA". The stretch from base 1 to 607 matches the Rfam family "Eukaryotic large subunit ribosomal RNA", at positions 64 to 664 of the family's 3401-position model. Lineage: Eukaryota; Fungi; Basidiomycota; Tremellomycetes; Tremellales; Cryptococcaceae. The record is from RNAcentral.
CCAGACAUGGUUCCCCUACUAACGGCGAGUGAACCGGGAAGAGCUCAAAUUUGAAAUCUGGCGUCCUCAGGGCGUCCGAGUUGUAAUCUAUAGAGGCGUUUUCCGUGCCGGACCGUGUCCAAGUUCCUUGGAACAGGAUAUCAAAGAGGGUGACAAUCCCGUACUUGACACGACGACCGGUGCUCUGUGAUACGUCUUCUACGAGUCGAGUUGUUUGGGAAUGCAGCUCAAAAUGGGUGGUGAGUUCCAUCUAAAGCUAAAUAUUGGCGAGAGACCGAUAGCGAACAAGUACCGUGAGGGAAAGAUGAAAAGCACUUUGGAAAGAGAGUUAAACAGUUUGUUUUAUUGUUUUUUGGGAAACGAUUGAAGUCAGUCGUGACCGAGAGGCUCAGCCGGUUCUGCUUUUUUAUUCCCCUCGGUCGCGUCAACAUCAGUUUUGUCCGGUGGAUAAGGGCGGUAGGAAGGUGGCACCCUCGGGUGUGUUAUAGCCUAUCGUCGCAUACAUCGGGUGAGACUGAGGAACGCAGCUCGCCUUUAUGGCCGGGGUUCGCCCACGUCCGAGCUUAGGAUGUUGACAUAAUGGCUUUAAACGACCCGUCUUGAACGGGACCCAGGGCAUUCCAAUGGGCGGCGAAUAUCUUCUGGAGUAGGAGAUCAAAACAAGCGGACAUACCGUAGUUAGAGCACCUAUCCCGGCCAGUGAAAUAGAGCAAUCUAUUAUCGCUUUGAUUGGUACGGCAGGCUUCAAAUUAAGUCAUUGAGGCCAGCCUAAGCAACAUUUGACGCCAGAGUCAAGUCCACCGUACUGUUAAGCCAGGGAUAAAGCAUUUCGAAGACGCUUAACAGCCUUUCUUUUAACAUGAUAGCAAAGGAACAAUGAAUCCAAAGAUAUCCAAAGCACGACGUUUGACCUCAAAUAUUCUCAUCGAUGGCCUCACCAGCCUUCUAUAGCCGGGAUACAAAGAGAUCGUUAGU